Molecule: long non-coding RNA, 1983 nt
Organism: Esox lucius (northern pike)
Lineage: Eukaryota; Metazoa; Chordata; Actinopteri; Esociformes; Esocidae
Source: Ensembl
CUACCCCUGCUUGUGAUCGCGUAUACAUUUCAUUUUUAGUCUUUUGAGCCGAUUCUACUGCGUCAUAGUGUACAUCUACGUCUCCCUUCCCGCAGUCUCUACUACUGUCUGAGUCUGUGUCUUCGUCAGAGUCAAUCCACCUCCCUACUGCUUUUCCCGUGAGUAUCACCUGUCCUCUAUGUGCAUUUCCCUUUUCCUGCUUAUUUUUGUCUUUCUCACUGCCUGACCUUUUCUUCCUGGUUCCUUUAACCUCACCUUCUUCGUUCAGUUUCUUACUCCUCUCCUGAUACCUUCCGUACUCUCUCUCUGCCCUUGCCUUAAACGGUUUCACUUCCUCCUCAGUGUCUGUUUCGCUCUCUGACUCUGCCUUCCUACUCAACUUCCUCUUAUCUUGCUUCCCUGUGAACUGAGGUACAGGCUCGCUGUUCUCUGUGUCUAGGCUCAAUGUUCCUUGUUCUAUGCGCAGCACUGGAUAUAGUGGUGCGGGCGGUGCGGUAGGCGACACCGGGUCGUCUUCAUAUGCUGGGGGUUCUAUCUCUCCUUCCUUCCUCUCCUCCUUUUUCUCCUUGUUCAAAUGCUCUACUCCCUGACACCACACUGCUAACUUACACCAUUCUUUUCCGUCAUUUUCCCAUGCCUUUUCCGCAUCUUUAUAUCUCCCUCUUUUGACCAAAUUUGCUGUUUCCCUCGUCCCUAACCCUAUCUUGAUUCUUGGCACAAUCCUUCUCUUUAUUCCACAAAAUAACAUGUAAUGGGUCUCCUCUCAUCCAUCCUUAGUCUUGCCUCACUCACCACUUGUCGCAAUUUCUCUUCUAUUUUUCCCUUUUCUUUCUGAGUUGGGUCCAUCCUGCCUACAACUGUCAUUACAUUUGCCACCUGUAUUCCCAAUUUCUUCCAUCCCCCGGAACCUGGACGCCACCCAUUAUCGUCCAAUUCUCUCUCAAACUCCCCGUCCAUUCUAAACUAUUCGACCGUACUUCACGCUAAAUAUUUCAAGGUGCCCCUAAGUCCUCGGGCCUCUAACCCGACUGGUUGCCGAGACUCUAACUUGCAACCUCCACCGUCCCCGUCGGGAAGUGGUCUGGGGUAGUCAACCCCAGAACAAUUAAUGGGCCUCUAACCCGACUUACAGUGAGACUCUAACUCACACACCGUUACUCUGACCUCCUGAAUUUAAACCAGUGUCCCAAUACGAUCUCCACAGGUUCACAAUUUGGUUCACAGCCAAUACGCAGAUUUAGAUAUAACAGGCUCUGCUUACCUUUCCGAUGCGCCGGCGCUGGAACCUGUGAAACCUGUGUAGGUUAACUGGACCAGAAUGAAUUCCUUCUCAGCAACCUCUACAGAACUACAGAACGCAAACUUAUAAUUGGAUGCCAUUACCGUAUAGUUAAGAGACUUUCAAAUGUUACUAACUAGCCAGCUAACAACGUUUAUAAUUUCCAAAUCGACAAAUCCUCAAAUCCCAUCAGUCGUUAAUAUUUGCGUCUUCGUCAUUCAUUCUAUUUCAGUGGACAAAUGACACUUUCGUCCGCACAAUUGUAUGUUAUCACCACGGUGACUGGAUGUUGCGCUCACUGCACUUGGCGCUCAAAGAACCCUCUCACCGAAGUUUUCUCGCGGUAAAGUCCGUUAUCAUCGCUAGCCGCAACGAAAUGGAAACGCUGUCAGGUAAGCUAUUUUCUUUUAAAUGUUUUCAUUAAAUUAAUCAGCCAGAUUACAUCGAAUUUACAUUGCAUGCUGUGGUGUCAUAUUAGGGCAAAAAUGGCGACCAAAAGAGGGUACAAGGCUUUUCUAAAUGAAGAUCAACCUGUUCCUAAAACUCGGCUUAGUCAGAAGUCAAACAGCCAGAGAAGAUACAAAACACACCUGGAGACUGACAGCAGAGUUCCAAGAAAAACCUUAUACAGAAAACCUUAUACAGACACGUUAGGAAUAAUGAAGUCCAGGUAAGCCUAGCAAUUUUAUUGUUAUAAAAAAACU